RNAcentral lists this ribosomal RNA (262 nucleotides) under uncultured bacterium. Its description in RNAcentral is "partial 16S ribosomal RNA". It matches the Rfam family "Bacterial small subunit ribosomal RNA", at positions 99 to 354 of the family's 1533-position model. The record is from RNAcentral.
CGAACGGGUGAGUAACACGUGGGCAACCUGCCCAAAAGAGGGGGAGUAACACUUGGAAACAGGUGCUAAUACCGCAUAACCAUAGUUACCGCAUGGUAACUAUGUAAAAGGUGGCUAUGCUACCGCUUUUGGAUGGGCCCGCGGCGCAUUAGCUAGUUGGUGGGGUAAAGGCUUACCAAGGCAAUGAUGCGUAGCCGAACUGAGAGGUUGAUCGGCCACAUUGGGACUGAGACACGGCCCAAACUCCUACGGGAGGCAGCAG